UACAGAGGUCUCAAGCGUUGUUCGGAAUUAUUGGGCGUAAAGCGCACGUAGGCGGCCUGCUAAGUCGAACGUGAAAUCCCCGGGCUCAACCCGGGAACUGCGUCCGAUACUGGCAGGCUUGAAUCCGGGAGAGGGAUGCGGAAUUCCAGGUGUAGCGGUGAAAUGCGUAGAUAUCUGGAAGAACACCAAUGGCGAAAGCAGCUUUCUGGGACGGUACUGACGCUGAGACGCGAAAGCGUGGGGAGCGAACAGG
Molecule: ribosomal RNA, 253 nt
Filed under: uncultured bacterium
Lineage: Bacteria
Description: partial 16S ribosomal RNA
Rfam family: Bacterial small subunit ribosomal RNA
Source: RNAcentral